UAGAGGUUUUCGAGUCCUGGCUACAGGACGACGCUGGCGGUGUGCUUCACACAUGCAAGUCGAACGAGGUAGCAAUACCUAGUGGUCGACGGGUGAGUAACGCUGGGAAUCUGCCUUUAGAUGGGGGAUAACGGCCGAAAGUCGCUAAUACCGCAUAUGCCGCAAGGUGAAAGGAGUAAUCCGGUCUAAAGAUGAGCCCGCGUCCGAUUAGCUAGUUGGUAGAGUAAGAGCCUACCAAGGCGACGAUCGGUAGCUGGUCUGAGAGGAUGAUCAGCCACAAUGGGACUGAGACACGGCUCAUACUCCUACGGGAGGCAGCAGUGGGGAAUUUUACGCAAUGGGGGAAACCCUGACGUAGCGACACCGCGUGAGCGAAGAAGCCCUUUGGGGUGUAAAGCUCUGUCAGCUGGAACGAAAACAAUGACGGUACCAGCAGAGGAAGCAUCGGCUAACUACGUG
This 459-nucleotide ribosomal RNA is filed under the name uncultured bacterium. RNAcentral's name for it is "bacterial SSU rRNA". It matches the Rfam family "Bacterial small subunit ribosomal RNA", at positions 1 to 507 of the family's 1533-position model. The record is from RNAcentral.